AUUAGACGAAUCAUCUGGAAAGAUGAAUCAAAGAAGGUAAUAAUCCUGUAGUCGAAAAUGUUGUCUCUCUUGAGUGGAUCCUGAGUACGACGGAGCACGUGAAAUUCCGUCGGAAUCUGGGAGGACCAUCUCCUAAGGCUAAAUACUCUCUAGUGACCGAUAGUGAACCAGUACCGUGAGGGAAAGGUGAAAAGCACCCCGGAAGGGGAGUGAAAUAGAACCUGAAACCGUGUGCUUACAAGUAGUCAGAGCCCGUUAAUGGGUGAUGGCGUGCCUUUUGUAGAAUGAACCGGCGAGUUACGAUUUGAUGCAAGGUUAAGCAGUAAAUGUGGAGCCGUAGCGAAAGCGAGUCUGAAUAGGGCGUUUAGUAUUUGGUCGUAGACCCGAAACCAGGUGAUCUACCCUUGGUCAGGUUGAAGU
Molecule: ribosomal RNA, 420 nt
Filed under: Staphylococcus aureus
Lineage: Bacteria; Bacillati; Bacillota; Bacilli; Caryophanales; Staphylococcaceae
Description: partial 23S ribosomal RNA
Rfam family: Bacterial large subunit ribosomal RNA
Source: RNAcentral